GAGGCGAUGUGAAGUCUUCCGGGCUGAAUUUACUCUCCCUCCAUUAGUUGACAAAUCAGGACUCCUCCUUUCCCUGAGGUCGCUCCCGUUGGCACCCGCUCCCUGCUAAACCGGCGGUGCAAGAGCUUCAUGUGACUGGAGACGAGCACUACAGGCAGCUGCCCCGUCAUGAUGGCUGCCAGUCCCAUCGCCGCUUCAGUGUCCACUGUGGAGCGCUCAAACUCCUGAAACCUCAGCAUGGCCACCAGACAGUCCUCCUCACUGAAAACAACACAACACUCUUAUCAAGAAAGACUUGAAGAACCACCAAAAUGCAAACAAAAAUGAACACAGGUGAUGUGGCAAGAGGAACAUUCUGAAGUGUCCUUCCUGUUACCAAAUGCAUAUUGGAAAACCUGAAGAAAAUCACAUGGCCGAGACCAGAGCUUGGAAUAAGUCUUCACACAGUCCUGCUCCAAACAGACUGUGUGUCUCUGUACCUGUGCUGUGUUUGAUGGCAGCAGCAGUCCCGGCCAGCAGCCCGUAGUGUCCAGCAGAGGGCACCAGAACUGCAUCCACUUUAUAGACCUGCUCCAGGAUCUCCAGCCCCAC
This is a long non-coding RNA of Boleophthalmus pectinirostris (great blue-spotted mudskipper), 591 nucleotides long. RefSeq lists it as uncharacterized. The transcript has 6 exons. The record is from RefSeq and is a predicted model, not a curated record. Lineage: Eukaryota; Metazoa; Chordata; Actinopteri; Gobiiformes; Gobiidae.